CGCCAGACUCCUACGGGAGGCAGCAGUGGGGAAUAUUGCACAAUGGGGGAAACCCUGAUGCAGCGACGCCGCGUGAGCGAUGAAGUAUUUCGGUAUGUAAAGCUCUAUCAGCAGGGAAGAAAAUGACGGUACCUGACUAAGAAGCCCCGGCUAACUACGUGCCAGCAGCCGCGGUAAUACGUAGGGGGCAAGCGUUAUCCGGAUUUACUGGGUGUAAAGGGAGCGUAGACGGCUGUGCAAGCCAGAUGUGAAAGCCCGGGGCUCAACCCCGGGACUGCAUUUGGAACUGUGUGGCUGGAGUGUCGGAGAGGCAGGCGGAAUUCCUAGUGUAGUGGUGAAAUGCGUAGAUAUUAGGAGGAACACCAGUGGCGAAGGCGGCCUGCUGGACGAUGACUGACGUUGAGGCUCGAAAGCGUGGGGAGCAAACAGGAUUAGAUACCCGAGUA
RNAcentral lists this ribosomal RNA (446 nucleotides) under uncultured bacterium. Its description in RNAcentral is "bacterial SSU rRNA". It matches the Rfam family "Bacterial small subunit ribosomal RNA", at positions 329 to 792 of the family's 1533-position model. The record is from RNAcentral.